AAGUGUUGCAGGAAAUAAAUCCAAAGAUGGCGUCUUGUUGACCUUAGAUGCUAUUAAAGCUAGCGUCAGGUUUAGAAAAUCUAUAGCCGAUGGAUGGCUGAAGGUACAAGUUUCUCCUGAACACAAACGCUAAGAAAUUCAAACGCUAAGAAAUUCAAAUCAGAAACGCUAAGAAAUUCAAUUCUAAGAGAUUCAAACUUUGAACAUCGUGAUAUAUAACUUACAAGUCACGAUUCAACAUGGAGUAUUUUGUGUUUUACAGAGCUUGGAUAAUGUUAAGAAUUCGUCAGAACAUUUGGUGAUAGAUGUUUUCGCAGUUCUUAUACUGUAUGCUGUGACCAGCAAGAGAAAACCUGUUGAAAGUUUACUGCGAAACAAAAUACGCAGCGGCUGUUUUACUGAAGAUGUUCUGAGUAUGGCGUUUAAAUCUUAUGGACAGGUU
Non-coding RNA from Paramuricea clavata, 442 nucleotides. The record is from the annotation of a GenBank genome assembly. NCBI's taxonomy places the organism in Eukaryota, Metazoa, Cnidaria, Anthozoa, Malacalcyonacea, Plexauridae.